This 1343-nucleotide ribosomal RNA is filed under the name uncultured bacterium. Its description in RNAcentral is "16S ribosomal RNA". It matches the Rfam family "Bacterial small subunit ribosomal RNA", at positions 28 to 1378 of the family's 1533-position model. The record is from RNAcentral.
GACGAACGCUGGCGGCGUGCUUAACACAUGCAAGUCGAACGGAAAGGCCCUGCUUUUGUGGGGUGCUCGAGUGGCGAACGGGUGAGUAACACGUGAGUAACCUGCCCUUGACUUUGGGAUAACUUCAGGAAACUGGGGCUAAUACCGGAUAGGAGCUCCUGCUGCAUGGUGGGGGUUGGAAAGUUUCGGCGGUUGGGGAUGGACUCGCGGCUUAUCAGCUUGUUGGUGGGGUAGUGGCUUACCAAGGCUUUGACGGGUAGCCGGCCUGAGAGGGUGACCGGCCACAUUGGGACUGAGAUACGGCCCAGACUCCUACGGGAGGCAGCAGUGGGGAAUAUUGCACAAUGGGCGGAAGCCUGAUGCAGCAACGCCGCGUGCGGGAUGACGGCCUUCGGGUUGUAAACCGCUUUCGCCUGUGACGAAGCGUGAGUGACGGUAAUGGGUAAAGAAGCACCGGCUAACUACGUGCCAGCAGCCGCGGUGAUACGUAGGGUGCGAGCGUUGUCCGGAUUUAUUGGGCGUAAAGGGCUCGUAGGUGGUUGAUCGCGUCGGAAGUGUAAUCUUGGGGCUUAACCCUGAGCGUGCUUUCGAUACGGGUUGACUUGAGGAAGGUAGGGGAGAAUGGAAUUCCUGGUGGAGCGGUGGAAUGCGCAGAUAUCAGGAGGAACACCAGUGGCGAAGGCGGUUCUCUGGGCCUUUCCUGACGCUGAGGAGCGAAAGCGUGGGGAGCGAACAGGCUUAGAUACCCUGGUAGUCCACGCUGUAAACGGUGGGUACUAGGUGUGGGGUCCAUUCCACGGGUUCCGUGCCGUAGCUAACGCUUUAAGUACCCCGCCUGGGGAGUACGGCCGCAAGGCUAAAACUCAAAGGAAUCGACGGGGCCCCGCACAAGCGGCGGAGCAUGCGGAUUAAUUCGAUGCAACGCGUAGAACCUUACCUGGGUUUGACAUGGAUCGGGAGUGCUCAGAGAUGGGUGUGCCUCUUUUGGGGUCGGUUCACAGGUGGUGCAUGGCUGUCGCCAGCUCGUGUCGUGAGAUGUUGGGUUAAGUCCCGCAACGAGCGCAACCCUUGUUCACUGUUGCCAGCACGUUAUGGUGGGGACUCAGUGGAGACCGCCGGGGUCAACUCGGAGGAAGGUGGGGAUGACGUCAAGUCAUCAUGCCCCUUAUGUCCAGGGCUUCACGCAUGCUACAAUGGCUGGUACAGAGAGUGGCGAGCCUGUGAGGGUGAGCGAAUCUCGGAAAGCCGGUCUCAGUUCGGAUUGGGGUCUGCAACUCGACCUCAUGAAGUCGGAGUCGCUAGUAAUCGCAGAUCAGCAACGCUGCGGUGAAUACGUUCCCGGG